UACGGGGGGGGCAAGCGUUGUUCAGAAUUACUGGGCGUAAAGGGCUCGUAGGCGGCCAACUAAGUCAGACGUGAAAUCCCUCGGCUUAACCGGGGAACUGCGUCUGAUACUGGAUGGCUUGAGUUUGGGAGAGGGAUGCGGAAUUCCAGGUGUAGCGGUGAAAUGCGUAGAUAUCUGGAGGAACACCGGUGGCGAAGGCGGCAUCCUGGACCAACACUGACGCUGAUGAGCGAAAGCCAGGGGAGCAAACGGG
RNAcentral lists this ribosomal RNA (253 nucleotides) under uncultured bacterium. RNAcentral's name for it is "partial 16S ribosomal RNA". It matches the Rfam family "Bacterial small subunit ribosomal RNA", at positions 524 to 776 of the family's 1533-position model. The record is from RNAcentral.